This 1201-nucleotide long non-coding RNA is filed under the name Sinocyclocheilus anshuiensis. RNAcentral's name for it is "lncRNA (ENSSANG00000050289.1)". The record is from RNAcentral. Lineage: Eukaryota; Metazoa; Chordata; Actinopteri; Cypriniformes; Cyprinidae.
GUUAAUUUGAUCCCAGGUGUGUCCCAUUAGCUUCAGUGUAUUUAAAAUGUGUUCUGCCCCUCAUUUCCCGUCCGCUGUUAAAUGUCAUUUUGUCUUCUUUGUGAUUUCCCGUGUUCCCCGCUUUGAGUUCGUUAAAGUCUUUGGAAUUUAUGUUACUCCUUGUCUCCUCGCUCCUUCGUACCCAUGCUCCCCGUGUGAAUCGAGACAGAACAGCGGACCAAAACAGUAUGAGGACCGCCCUGCUGUCAAGCUCCCUCAAGCCCGCCGGCCGCGGCUCCCACAAGCCCGCCAGCCGCCCCAGAGCUCGCUCCUGUGUUGGCUCCAGCCCCAGAUCUCGCUCAGUGAGGGCUCCUGUUCCCGAGUUUAGCCCACGGAGGGCUCCAGUCCCAGAAUCCAAUCCAGAGUGCCCACCAGUGCCUGCUCCUCCAGAACACCCUCAGGGCUUCAGCCAUAGAGGCGGGGGUGGGGGCCACGGCCUCGGAGGCUGCUCUGCCAUGGCCUCCUGGACUGUCUGAUCCUCCAUGGCCUCCUGAGUUCCCUACUCUGCCAUGACCUCCUGGACUGCAUGCUCCGCCAUGGCUCCCCGAGCUGCCUGAUCCUCCAUGGUGCCCCGAACGGGUAUCACUCUGAGGGACCUCCAGUGCGCCCACCCCCCCCUCGCCAUUGGAUGUUGUGUGUUCCGGGAGGGGGGAGUUGUAUUGGAUUUCCACUUUAAUUAAAUUUUAGUCUCAUCUGACCUCAGAAUCUUCAAGGUACAUGUUGGCAAAGCCUUAAUGUUGUAUGUUUGACAGGGUUGUUUGCCAUUCAGAAUUUAUUUGAGUGUCAAUUUCAAGUUCCUGAAUAUAAAAUAAAUGUGAAUUCCGGUAGCAAAUAUGAUUCAGAAUAUGAAUUCAUUUUUUUUGUCAUAGAAUUUGUCACAAAUUGCAUUUUUACAUUUUAUACCACCCCACACACACACACACACACACACACACACAGUGUCAGACUCUGUUCCAUGUGUUGUGUUUUCCUCCCCCACGUGCUCUUUGUUUUUAUGCCCAUAUUUGGUUUUACCGUUCCUGUCCUCAUUUGUUCCAGGUGUUCCUUGUUUAGUUUAUUUGAUCCCAUGUGUGUCCCAUUAGUUUCUGUGUAUUUAAAGUGUGUUCUGCCCCUCGUUUCCCGUCCGCUGUUAAAUGUCAUUUGGUCUUCUCUGUGAUUUCCC